CGGAGGUUGCGUGUGGUGCGGGACAGUGUGCGGCGACGCGUCAAUUGGUGACUAAUCGCUUGUUAACUUGUUACACCGCAGGUGGUUUGUUGUGAGCGGCGUUCACUUGUAACUGAUUGUUUAUUAGUGUGUUAACUUAGUGUUUAGGUGUAAGGUGGUGGGUGUAUUGUGAGUGACGCGUCAACUACUGACUAAUUGCUUGUUAACUUAACGUGACUAGUGUCUAGCCCUAUGCGAUGUGUGGUUUGUGAGCGGUGCGGCGUUCGCUUGUGACCGACUGCUUGUUAGCGUGCGGUAACUAUAAAUCAGUGUCUUGCUGUGGAUGGUGCUGGCUGAGGGGCGGGGCAACUAGUGAUUCAUCGCUUGGGAACUUAGCGUACGAUAACUUGAUCAGUGUCUAGCCUCAGACCGGAAAAAUGUGAACCCCAUAACUACCCGUCAUGUGCAUGAUGGGUAGUCCAGGGCCCCUCUCACCCACAGGAGGCCUGAGUCAGCCUAAGCCAUGGCUGCGUCAGCAAGAAGACCCUGCUGGCUGAUUUAUCCUUCCUGACAAGGGCAGUAACGUUUAACAACAGUGAUAAGAGUUGAACCUGACCGGAGCUCGAACGCAAAAUCACAGAAUAGCAGCCGUGUGAACUUCCACGGCUGGUUAAGCUGCUUUCGUCUGUUUGGUGAGUACCCCUGUGCAGCUCAUCGCCAUCGAGGGACAGAUUGGAGCACCUCUCUAGCAAGUUAAGUAAAGCUACAGUCUCUUAGGGCGUUAGGCGAUAGGAGAAUAGGCUGCUAACCUUGCUUCCCUUCCAGGUACACUCAUCAUUCUGACUUUUUCCAGAGUACAGCCCUAGAGUGUACCUUGCUGGCGGCCACUAGUUGUAACUAAUUGUUGUGUUGGGGAAGCAGUGCUGGGGCUGGUGGAGUGCUGCAUUCAUCUGGUGGUACGUGGGAGUUGAAAUAGUGAUACUCCAGACGUAUCAACCGAGGUGGUGCGCGUACACGAGUUCUAGAGACUGAAGGGAGAUGAAAAAGAGAAUGUGUGGGAGGAAAGACGUGGACUGAUGGUAGAGAAAGGGAAGGAACUGAGGAAGACGAGGGAAACUUGAAAAAGAGAACGUGUGGGAGGAAAGAUGUGGACUGAUGGUAGAGAAAGGGAAGGAACUGAGGAAGACGAGGGAAACUUGGAUAGAAACAGAGUGAAUAGAGAAGAAAUAAGAAAUGAAGACGUAGCAAAGGUGUUGGAUCAGAACAGCCAAGAGACGCAGUAAAUAGAAGAUAGAGAACAAUAAAGACAAGACGCUCUGAUGAUGGCAGCCAUUUUCAAAGGUCAUGAUGGUGGAGAUGACACGCUGCUAGUGACGAUGAAGAUGACGCGAGGCUGAUGAUGAGUGUGCACCAAAUAUUAUCUUGUGUUCUCGUGAUUCAAUGUUGUCGGUGUUUGAAAAUACAUCGAUGUAUUUAUUUUCGGAGUUUUUUUAGUAACCGUGUGUGUGUGUGUGUGUGUGUGUGUGUGUGUGUGUGUGUGUGUGUGUGUGUGUGUUCUGUCUGUUUGCCUGCCUCUGUCACUGUCUGUCUGUCUGUCUCUGUUUGUAUCAGUCUAGUUGUUCUAGUCUGUGGCACUCCUACUGUGGCGUACAAAUGAGAAGGGUGGAAGGAGACGCUAAACUGAAUACGGAAUAUCCUUAGUGUACCGGGUGUCCGUGAGCAGGAUGGUAAGUGAUUGAAAACAGUAAAAGUGAAUGUAAAAUAAAGAAAAUAAUCUAAGUAGUCUUGAGAUAGACACGUAUACUCGUGAUAGGAAGCAUGAUUGACUAUCACAUUGCGGAGACAAAUAGAAUCGUCCCCUAUACGUGAUGGACAAUGUCACUUUACGGAGACUAACAAAAUCAUUUAUAGAAAGUUAUGUUCAAGAUGUGUGUUAACCGAGUGUUGAAAAACAUGGCAGACUCAAUUUACGGAACUUGUAGAACAAUUUAUAGAAGAAAGUUUAGAGUUAGAAGUAAUACCCGUGUGCUGGAAAGCGUGAUGGACUCUUUCACUAUAAGGGAACUAAUGGAAUCUUUUACACGUAAAAAGAAAAUUAUAGAUCGGAGAAGUGUCGCCCGGGUGUUGGAAAACGUGACGGGCUCCUUGAGUGUUAAAUGACAGAUUGGGGACAAGUUCAGUAAAGUGACAGGUAUGCGUGUAGCGGUUACCAGACUUAAUGGUGAGUAUACAAGUGAGCGAACUUCGGAAUAUUCUGGGAUCCAUCAUAUUCUGCUACACACGGACAACUCUUAUCUAACUUUAUUCUAUAAAAGAUUCUAUCAGACUCCCUCUGUAAUCUCUCACGAGUGGAAACUAGUUAAUGAAAUGGCAAUUGUCAUAUGUAGUGGCUAACUGACUUCUUGGUGAGCAUCUGUGUUCACGACCUGGGAGACGUAUCGGUGUGGCUGGUAGUGUCUGGCCUUCUGAAAUAGCCACUCGUGCACGGGAACACAAACAUAUUCUCGGAACAUUAAAGAUCUGCAGCGUUUGUCAGUAUAAGAAGACCACCGUUAUGAACCUCAGACCACUGCGUUAGGAGACUUGCAACCUUCCCUUAUUUAGCAAAAGAUUAUACUCUCACGGCGCAACACUUCAUUACUCGAACGUAUUGUUAAGCACGUUUAUUUGCAAGCUGCUGUUGGAGUAAGAAUGACUCUCUCUCGAUGAAAUGUACAGCCCACUCCACAUGUGCUGAUGCAGUUGAUGGCUUGAUGUCUCAAAUGUCAUAAUCCCUUUGUCAUCUCAUCAUGUUCUGUCUCCUCUUGAGUCACCCACUAGACAUCUAAGUCAUGUGCAAGUGUUUCCCAAGGAUUCGAGUGUUUCGAGAAGGCUGAACCAAGAAGGGCACGUUGCCAGAUGUAUAAUGUUUCUCUAUUUCAGUACUUGCUCUGUAUCCUCCACCACUUAACCAUUAUGAUUCAGUGUUCCUCCACUCCGGCCCUCACGUCAAUUGAAAAGCAUCUGUCACCCCACUCUUUAAUCCAGGAUACAGCUCACUCAAUGUUGAAAACUAUAUCAGUCUAAUGUUGUUGGUUUCCAUCGAAUUUGUGAGUCAAGUAAUGGGUAAGCGCACCAGAUGACAGGGGCUACGCUGCUGUACCUCAUUAGCUUUCUGACGACACCCUUCACGAAAAGACCUGGACACUUAUCGAUAAGUUCCAAAACCUUGGAAUGCUCUCAACAGGAUCUAGUGAAAAUUAUUGAGAUUUUCAGUGAUGUUUUCAUGGUUCUAGUGAUAGUUUAACACGUGUUCUGCAGCCUCACUAGUACAAACCUCCAUGUGAACCCGAUUAAUGAUAGCCUUUGAAAAUUCCUACUGUGAGAGUCCAAAGUGUUUUACAAUACAGAUCCUGCUGCUGCCCUGCCACUCAGGCCAUAUGAUAGCGUGGGCGGGAGAGGUUGAUCGCUACUACCAAGAAUGAUGUUUGGAGACACGAGUGGCUUUACGUAAGAGAGUGACGGCACCAAGCAUUACUCGCUGUGUUUGAGGCACCAGCCACGCCCGGGGAGCGAAACAGACUCGCACAGAAGCAACAUCCUCGUCUACUUGUCUCGCAGGCGGCCUGUCUUCACCUCCAAGACGGGACGCAGGUGCUCAGUGAUGCAAGUGUAAGACCCCUGUGUGGGAAUCUGCGCCUUUUUCACCAGUAGCAAGACACUUCGCAAUGUAACUUCUUCAGGAACAGACACCUUCAUUGUGCCUGUUUUUUUUUUUUUUUUUCCUUCCUCAGU
Long non-coding RNA from Scylla paramamosain (green mud crab), 3753 nucleotides. RefSeq lists it as uncharacterized. The record is from RefSeq and is a predicted model, not a curated record. The transcript has 5 exons. NCBI's taxonomy places the organism in Eukaryota, Metazoa, Arthropoda, Malacostraca, Decapoda, Portunidae.